AAUUCCAAAGGCUAAGGAAAGCAUUGCGCAUGCGGGAAACCCACGCUGAGGGAAGAAUCAUGGGAAAGAGUAGAGACGGGGUUCCACCGUGUUAGCCAGGAUGGUCUCGAUUUCCUGACCUCGUCAUCCUCCCGCCUUGGCCUCCCAAAGUGCUGGGAUUACAGGCUUGAGCCACCGCGCCCCGCUCUUUCGUGUUCCAAAGGCUUUUUAAAUAAACUUCCACUCCUGUCCUGGAUUCUGCUUUAUGGCCCUCAGUCGAAUUCUUUCUUCUGAGGAGGCAAGGACUGAAGUUGCUUCUGACCAGUACAGGUACGCCGCAGGAGAAAACGAAUACAGCAGGGAUGACUUCCACCAGCUCCACUUUGCAGCUCUGAGGUGUAUUAAAAAUGACCUGGAAGAAGUCAUGCCACGGGCCAGACCUUAACAUUCCUUUCGGCUUACCCCAGGAUUUCAGACAAAGCUUCACUUUCCUAACCAGUCACAAAUCAGAGAAUUUUUGAUUCCACCUAUGACCUGUGAGCUCCUGCUUCAAGAUAUUCCACCUUUUUUAGGCCAAACCAAUGUAUAACCUCCAAGUGUCGAUUUACACUUUCGACUGUAACUUCUGCUUUCCUGAGAUUUACCCCUGCCUUUAAAAACCCUUGCUUGUAAUCCCUCAGGGAGGCCGUGUAUUUAUUAAUCAUGAGCUGCCCAAUUCUCCUUGCUUGGUGCCCUGCAAAUAAACACCCUCUUUUCUCCCACUGCAAAACCUCAGUGUGGAUGUUUGGCUUUACUUCACCCCCAGGAAAGCAGACCCAGGUUUGACUCAGCAACAACAUCUGUUUCUAUUUUUCUCUGUAUAAAUAUUAAAAACCAUAAGUACAUGCUAUCUCCAAUUCCAAUAUAAACCCAUAGGGCUCAUUCUGGCCUUCCCAUUUUCUUAUGUGUAAUUCAUUUCUCUGAAAAUGAGAAUUCGAGUACUCAGAUAUUUACUUACCUACUCAAUCCUAGAAUAGAAAUAAAAUAAUUCAACAUAA
Molecule: long non-coding RNA, 1016 nt
Filed under: Homo sapiens (human)
Lineage: Eukaryota; Metazoa; Chordata; Mammalia; Primates; Hominidae
Description: HSALNT0345043
Source: RNAcentral